AUGGAGAUGGGGUUAACUCCUAAAACCCUCGAUUGUCAUUAUGUGAGAGAUAUUAUGUACUACAUUGACAAUCCUGAGAAAACCCCAUUCAACUUUAUAAUGGGAGACACAUUGGAUCAACGUGAAUACUUUAGGGAUUAUCGCUUUACACAAAAAGGGAAACUAUUAUGGGAUAAAAUUAAUAUGCUGCGUUGGUAUGCUUGGGGUCUAUGCUUGAGAUAUGAUAUUACUAGUUGCUCCAGGAUGAAGGCUCCACACCUUCCCUUUUCAUGCAAAUUUAUUGAUAAUGAAACCUUAGCUUCUUAUGCUAAUGGUAUAUAUGAUUACUAUGAUGUUGAACAAAUAGAAGAAUUUGUUGCUUUUAAGGUUGCUUACGAAAUUGAAUCUUUGUUUGAAAAGUAUGAAGCUUUUGAUGAUGAUGGUGUUUAUAGACCUGAAAAUCUUGCUAUACUUAGAUAUUGCUACGAAAAUUAUGAAUACAAUUACAAUAUUAAUGCAUUUAUUGAGAAAGUCUCCGCUGUCCAAGAAGAGAUUAAUAUUUUGCAGGAAUCUAUGGAAGAAGAAAUUGAUGAAACUCUGAGCUCAUUGGAUGAAAAAGAUGAUGAGGAGAGAGAAGAACAAAAGGAGGAAGAGAGGAUUGAUCACCCGUGCCCAUCUUCUAAUGAGAGUAACUCUUCAACUCAUACAUUGUUUAAUUCCCCUUCGUGCUUACCGAAGGAUGAUUGCUAUGGUCUCUUGAAUUUGUUUGAAAUAUCCCUUUUUGAUGAUGCUUGUUAUGCUUGUGGCCAAGAUGCCAAUAUGAAUUAUGCUUAUGGAGAUGAACUUUCUAUAGUUCCUUAUGUUAAACAUGAAAUUGUUGCUAUUGCACCCACGCAUGAUAGUCCUAUUAUCUUUUUGAGUUCUCCAAACUACACUAUAUCGAAGAAGUUUGUGCUUAUUAAGGAUUAUAUUGAUGGGUUGCGUUUUACUACUUUACAUGAUGAUUUAAUAGAUAUAAUAUGCAUGUGCUUGCUGCUCCUACUUGCCAUUAUUAUGAGAGAGGAACUAUGUCUCCACCUCUCUAUGUUUCCAACACGAUAG
This 1080-nucleotide ribosomal RNA is filed under the name Triticum aestivum (bread wheat). RNAcentral's name for it is "partial small subunit ribosomal RNA". Lineage: Eukaryota; Viridiplantae; Streptophyta; Magnoliopsida; Poales; Poaceae. The record is from RNAcentral.